Molecule: ribosomal RNA, 151 nt
Filed under: uncultured Rhizobium sp.
Lineage: Bacteria; Pseudomonadati; Pseudomonadota; Alphaproteobacteria; Hyphomicrobiales; Rhizobiaceae
Description: partial 16S ribosomal RNA
Rfam family: Bacterial small subunit ribosomal RNA
Source: RNAcentral
UCAGCCAUGCCGCGUGAGUGAUGAAGGCCUUAGGGUUGUAAAGCUCUUUCACCGAUGAAGAUAAUGACGGUAGUCGGAGAAGAAGCCCCGGCUAACUUCGUGCCAGCAGCCGCGGUAAUCAGCAGGGGGCUAGCGUUGUUCGGAAUUACUG